AGCAGCCGCGGUAAUUCCAGCUCCAAUAGCGUAUAUUAAAGUUGUUGCAGUUAAAAAGCUCGUAGUUGAAUUUCGGGGUCAGUAGGUUGGUCGUGCCACCGGUACGUACUGGUCUCACUGAUUCCUCCUUCCUGAUGAGCUGUAAUGCCAUUAAUUUGGUGUUGCAGGGAAUCUGGACUGUUACUUUGAAAAAAUUAGAGUGUUUAAAGCAGGCUAACGCUUGAAUACAUUAGCAUGGAAUAAUGAAAUAGGACGUUCGAUCCUAUUUUGUUGGUUUCUAGGAUUGACGUAAUGAUUAAUAGGGAUAGUUGGGGGCAUUAGUAUUCAAUUGUCAGAGGUGAAAUUCUUGGAUUUAUUGAAGACUAACUACUGCGAAAGCAUUUGCCAAGGAUGUUUUCAUUAAUCAAGAACGAAAGUUAGGGAUCGAAGACGAUCAGAUACCGUCGUAGU
This 450-nucleotide ribosomal RNA is filed under the name uncultured Glomeromycotina. RNAcentral describes it as "SSU rRNA". It matches the Rfam family "Eukaryotic small subunit ribosomal RNA", at positions 569 to 1024 of the family's 1831-position model. Lineage: Eukaryota; Fungi; Glomeromycota. The record is from RNAcentral.